Molecule: ribosomal RNA, 459 nt
Filed under: uncultured bacterium
Lineage: Bacteria
Description: SSU rRNA
Rfam family: Bacterial small subunit ribosomal RNA
Source: RNAcentral
AGGACGAACGUUGGCGGCGUGCCUAACACAUGCAAGUCGAACGUGGCUUAAGUUUACUUAAGUCUAGUGGCGGACGGCAGAGUAAUGCACAGGAACGUACCUCGAGGUGAGGGAUAGCCCUUCGAAAGAAGGGGUAAUACCACAUGUGCUCGCAAGAGCAAAGCCGCAAGGCGCCAUGAGAACGGCCUGUGUCCUAUCAGGUAGUUGGUGAGGUAAAGGCUCACCAAGCCUAUGACGGGUAGCUGGUCUGAGAGGAUGAUCAGCCUGAUCGGGACUGAGACACGGCCCGAACUCCUACGGGAGGCAGCAGUUGGGAAUUUUGCACAAUGGACGAAAGUCUGAUGCAGCGACGCCGCGUGGAGGAUGAAGGUCUUCGGAUCGUAAACUCCUUUUACUUGGGAAUAAUUUAAUGAAGGUACCAAGUGAAUAAGCACCGGCUAACUCCGUGCCAGCAGCCGC